UCCCACCAGGAUGUUUACAUCCCUAGUGGGCACGGAGGACAAGGCAAGCAUUUAAUAAUAUAUACUCUGUACAGUUAAUUACAAAAGGUGCAGUAAGUACAUGUGAUUACCACUGGAGGGAAACUAAUUACAUAGUCCCGCCUAAUUACAAAAGCUUGCCUCCAAUAUUUGCCACCAACCAAAAGUACAGUAUUAAAAAGGCAUACACAUCACUUUUACAACUUUAUACAGAAAACUACUAAAAAUAGACAUAGUUAAAAAUGGCAGCUUUCACAUUUCCAAAUGUAGGAGAAGAUCCAAGAGGUGCUUUUCUUGAUACUUUAAUUCAAGCCCCUGCAAAAGUAAGAAGAUUGUCAAAUUUAGAAAGGAAUCAAAUUGUGCAUGCAUUAUCAAUAAAUUACAACAAUCAGAAGCUGAAAAAAGGUAUGAUCAACAAGAUUGCAAGUGAUUAUGGAGUGAGCAGAGUAACCAUUUCUAAACUAUGGCAGAAGGUUCUACAAUCAACAAGAAAAGGUGAAGUUCCUAAUGUGCAGACAAAUUACAAAGGUGGCAGUCAAGGAAUUCUUUUGGAUUUAGAAAAGGUAAGGUCCAUUCCUCUACAUUUAAGAACAAAUGUUCGCACACUUGCUUGUCAACUUGGUGCAUCUAAAUCCAAAGUUCAUAGGCUAAUCCAAAAGGGGAAAAUAAAAUCACAUUCAAAUGCCUUAAAACCAUUUUUAACACCUUCAAAUAUGGAAGCUAGGGUGAACUUUGUCUUAAAGCAUAUUGAAUCCUCUACACUUCACACAAACCCAACCUAUAUAGACAUGUUUUCUAUUGUUCAUAUAGACGAAAAAUGGUUUUAUAUGACUAGAAUAUCACAGAAAUAUUACCUUUUGCCGGAUGAACAAGAGCCACAUAGAAGGUGCAAGUCGAAGAGAUUUAUAACAAAAAUAAUGUUUAUGAGCGCUGUUGCAAGGCCUAGGUAUGAUGCUGAUGGUAAUUGUACUUUUGAUGGGAAAAUAGGUAUAUUUCCCUUCACUUUUGAUGAACCAGCAGCUAGAUCAAUUAAAAAUAGAGCUAGAGGUGUUAUUGAAGUUAAACCUAUUGAAAGUAUCACUAAAGUUGUGAUAAAACAAUGUCUAUUGGAAAAAAUCAUCCCAGCUAUUAAAGCUAAGUGGCCACUGGACUGCAAUAGACCUAUUGUUAUCCAACAAGAUAACGCAAGGCCUCAUAUAUGCAACACAGACUUGGAUUUCAUUGAGGUUGCAAAAUCUGAUGGAUUUAAUAUUACGUUAGCUAAUCAGCCGGCUAAUAGUCCGGACCUCAAUAUUAAUGAUUUAGGCUUCUUUAGAGUUAUUCAAGGGUUACAACAUGAAAAGGCGCCUACGACAGUGUGUGAGUUGGUUGGUGCAGUGCUUGAAGCGUACGAAGAAGUUAGUGAUUCUACUUUGAAUCAUGUAUGGCUAUCACUUAUGGGGUGUAUGACAGAGAUACUAAGGAAAGAUGGAAAUAAUAAUUAUAAGCUCCCACAUAUAGGAAAGGGAAAGUUGGAACGCCUCGGGCAACUACCUACAGUUUUGAAUGCUCUGCUGGAUGUAGUCCAGAAGGCACUGGAAAUGGCAACUGAAGUACCAAUGCUGUGAUUACCGACUGUUCAGACUUGUUUUUGACUACCAGACUUGUUUUUGACUACUCAGACUUGUUUUAAUCUUGUAAGCUUAACUAAACUACUGCACAGCUUCAAUUUUAAGUAUGCACAGGUUUGAUUUUAAGUAUGCACGUGUGUAUUUUAUAAUUAAUCAAGUAUCGCACAAGUAUUGUUAUGGUCAAAAUCUGAGUUCCUGGAGUUCGAUGUUUAGGCGAUAUGUUUGUAGCUAGGUUCAAUUUCUUGGGGCUUCAUUUAGCCACCAAGAUGCUUUACGUGUUGUUAUUGAAAGGAGUUGGAGUGAAAACAACAACUCAUGUCCAAACAAAAAAUUCAUAUCCUUAAUCAACCAGUACCAAUAAACAAACCCAAACAGCGAUAUAUCCCAAUUUCACACACAAGUAGGUUCCGAAAAGAACAAUAAUAAACUGAAUCAUCAAAUAAAUGAAGUUAUAAUUGGGAGGGUUGUGGGCUUACAGCAGAGUGUCCAAGGAAAGGAGAAAUGAAAGUGACAUUCGAAAUUAAUCAAGAACUCUGACUCUUCCAUCAGGACUGGCCUAGACAAGGUCUGCUACUAGGAAGCCAUCUAAUUAAAUGAACAAAAAAUAAAUAAAAUCAUAUCAGCAAAAUCAUAGGAAAAAAAUCUAGGGAAACAAAAUCAUAUCAACAAAAUCCAGUGAAACAUGACAUACUAUACCUGAAUUAAAGAAUCGAGGAAGAAAAAUAUGUAAGAGGCCAGUUGGGUCAUCAAAUUUCAACCUCUUCGCGGCCCUGAUAUCGCUCAAGCUUCGUUGUAAUUCGUCUUGUCUCACUUUUUCCGGCGUGUCCUCCACAACUUCAAACAAAUCCAGGUAAUUUUCGAUUAUAUAUAUAGACAAAUCUGUUCCGGGGAUCAGUAACGAUGAAGACGAUAUGGUUUCGGAAUCAAAACCACAGGUUGGGGCUGAUUUGUGAUUGCUAUUUUCCAUUACAAUUACAUCUAUUUGAUUGAUGAUAAGCGGGGGAAGUAAACGGAAAAUUUGGGGGCGGAAUUAGGGUUCAUAAUAUCAGCGGAGAAGACGAAGACCGAAGACGAAGAAAGAGAGAGUGAAAUGGGAAGUGAGAGAGUGAAAAGGGUCAAAAGUG
This 2752-nucleotide long non-coding RNA is filed under the name Daucus carota (carrot). Its description in RNAcentral is "long non-coding RNA (DCAR_LNC004763)". The record is from RNAcentral. Lineage: Eukaryota; Viridiplantae; Streptophyta; Magnoliopsida; Apiales; Apiaceae.